Triticum urartu is the source of this 662-nucleotide long non-coding RNA. RefSeq lists it as uncharacterized. The record is from RefSeq and is a predicted model, not a curated record. Lineage: Eukaryota; Viridiplantae; Streptophyta; Magnoliopsida; Poales; Poaceae.
CUACAGCCCCACCCACCCACUAACCCACUGCACACAUCGAUCCAUGGCCGGCGCUGGCAACUGGCGAGCGGAGAGGCGGCGGCCCCGCCUCCAGUAGCCUCCGGCGCGGCCGGCCCCUACCCCCGUCGCCCCCGGCGUGGCAAGCGCGUCGCCCGUCGCCUCCGCUGUGCCGACCCGGUGCGGCGUCUCCCCGGCGCGGCCGGCCCGUCGCCUCCGCUGCCCCGGCCUAUCGCGGCCCCCUGUCACCACCUCCCCGUCGAAGCGAGCUGGCCAUGGAGGUCGUUGACCCUACAACUGAUCGAGUUCCUGCCGUCGCGCGCGCGACCCUGCGGAUCCGGUCGAGGUCGAGCAACCACCGCCGGAUCUGAUGCGCGUGACCCCGCCGGACCUCCCUGCCUAGUCCCUCCGUGCGCGCCACCGGACCUGCCUCGCCCAGGCAUGUUGCCGGCCCUGCCUUGCCCAGGAGAAGACGAAGAUUCGAUUUCUUUUUUACAAAUUUUUGUAAGGUUCUUGCAAGAAACCAGGACUAAUUUUUCUUUCUUUUUAUGUGGGGGUCUUUUAUGUAAAGUGUAACCACCACAUAUAUAUAAGAAACGAGGUGGGAGUUAAUGCAAACGAGGUGGGUCGCACUAUUCGUCACCCUGCUUGAGGAAUAGUUAUUC